CCUACGGGAGGCUGCAGUGGGGAAUAUUGGACAAUGGGGGGAACCCUGAUCCAGCCAUGCCGCGUGUGUGAAGAAGGCCCUCGGGUUGUAAAGCACUUUCAGUGAGGAAGAACGCCUGGUGGUUAAUACCCAUCAGGAAAGACAUCACUCACAGAAGAAGCACCGGCUAACUCCGUGCCAGCAGCCGCGGUAAUACGGAGGGUGCGAGCGGUAAUCGGAAUUACUGGGCGUAAAGCGCGCGUAGGUGGCUUGAUAAGCCGGUUGUGAAAGCCCCGGGCUCAACCUGGGAACGGCAUCCGGACCUGUCAAGCUAGAGUGCAGGAGAGGAAGGUAGAAUUCCCGGUGUAGCGGUGAAAUGCGUAGAGAUCGGGAGGAAUACCAGUGGCGAAGGCGGCCUUCUGGACUGACACUGACACUGAGGUGCGAAAGCGUGGGUAGCAAACAGGAUUAGAUACCCUAGUAGUC
This 465-nucleotide ribosomal RNA is filed under the name Vreelandella stevensii. Its description in RNAcentral is "partial 16S ribosomal RNA". It matches the Rfam family "Bacterial small subunit ribosomal RNA", at positions 338 to 795 of the family's 1533-position model. Lineage: Bacteria; Pseudomonadati; Pseudomonadota; Gammaproteobacteria; Oceanospirillales; Halomonadaceae. The record is from RNAcentral.